GGCCAGCAGCCGCGGUAAGACGAAGGUGGCGAGCGUUGUUCGGAAUCACUGGGCAUAAAGCGCACGUAGGCGGCGGCGUAAGUCGGGUGUGAAAUCCCUCGGCCCAACCGAGGAACUGCGCCCGAUACUGCGUUGCUUGAGGAUCAGAGGGGUGCACGGAAUUUCCGGUGGAGCGGUGAAAUGCGUUGAUAUCGGAAGGAACGUCGGCGGCGAAAGCGGUGCACUGGCUGAUUUCUGACGCUGAGGUGCGAAAGCCAGGGGAGCAAACGGGAUUAGAUACCCCGGUAGUCCUGGCCGUAAACGAUGGGUACUAGGUAGGGGGGUGCCAAACGCCUCUCUGCUGGAGCGAAUGUAUUAAGUACCCCGCCUGGGAAGUACAGUCGCAAGGCUGAAACUCAAAGGAAUUGACGGGGGCCCGCACAAGU
Molecule: ribosomal RNA, 425 nt
Filed under: uncultured bacterium
Lineage: Bacteria
Description: bacterial SSU rRNA
Rfam family: Bacterial small subunit ribosomal RNA
Source: RNAcentral